This is a long non-coding RNA of Oncorhynchus tshawytscha (Chinook salmon), 351 nucleotides long. RefSeq lists it as uncharacterized. Lineage: Eukaryota; Metazoa; Chordata; Actinopteri; Salmoniformes; Salmonidae. The transcript is spliced from 3 exons. The record is from RefSeq and is a predicted model, not a curated record.
GCAACAGGGAUAUUCUAGCAUUAGUUCUGAAUAAGGUUGUGGUUUUGAUCACUUAAAUGGCUGUGACUUUUGGACUCUCUUUGAGUGUUUCUUGGAUUUGUUGCCUGCUAAUUGGAGGGAUAACGCGUUUUACCCUUCAAGGUGAUGCUUAUGGGCAUCCUGCCUACACUGGACCUGAACCAACUGGAUCCCAAGCAAGUGUGGUGUCUGGUCCAAAUGCUAAAGCUACUGGCCACAAUACCCUGGCAAGUGUGACGCCGGGUCCAACUGCCAACCAUGCAUCGUGUCACGAACCGGCUCAAAGCCCGUAACAAAAGGGAGACAACGUGGAGAUAAGGAGUAACAAAAGAU